Molecule: ribosomal RNA, 2706 nt
Filed under: Triticum aestivum (bread wheat)
Lineage: Eukaryota; Viridiplantae; Streptophyta; Magnoliopsida; Poales; Poaceae
Description: partial small subunit ribosomal RNA
Source: RNAcentral
AUGGAGGUCGGCUCCGUCUCCACUACUUCCUCCGUCUGUGUGGUUCUCCACGGCCGGCUUCUCUUCACCGACUCACGCAUCCAGCAAUGGAGGCCCAACCUAAAGCCGCCGCCACCGCCGCUCGCCAUCCCGUCGGCCCUUCUUCCACUGGACCACUCCAUCCCCCGGUCUAGUCAUCGUUCACAUCACCGGGUUACUCAAGUUUCAGUUGGGAGCUCGACCAAGAUCCAAUCUCCGGUAAUGGAGGAGCUGGCUGCUACUCGGCUGACUCUGUUGUUUGAUUGUACAACAGUUGCAUCAAGCAAGAUAAACCAAUGUGUGGUGUGCGUGCCAAGGCGCUGGGCGCGCGCAGGGGCAUGGGAUGCCGGUGACAGUGACCAACACCCCCUACAUGGGCAUCAACGACCUGGACACCUCCGCGAGCCUAUGCAAGCUGCCGGUCUACCUAUAGCUGACAUGCCAACACCACUCAAAAGUAACCAAUUCAUCCGCUCAGAGGUGGUUAAGAUUACAUCAGCAGUGAGUGGCCGAUUCUUCGUCGACUACGGCAUAGUGAUUGCAAAGGAGCUGGGCGUGCAGGGGCAUGGGAUGCCCGUGACAGUGACCAACACCACCUACAUGGGCAUGAACGCCCUCCAUGGCACCGCUGGCCUGGGCAAGCCGUGCCGGUCUACCGUAGCUCGUGGAGGUUGUCAAGAUGUAUGUCCACAUGCCGACACUGCUCAGGGUGAUUCAUGCAUCAACGCCUUUCAGAUCCUAAAGCAUACAUAUUUGAUUUGGCGUUGGGGUCCAAUUUCAACGCUGGGGAGAGCUGGUGCCAUGGCGGGCUACUAUGUUGUUGGGGUUCAUUUUCCAACGAUUGUAGUCUUGCAGAGGUUAUGCCUAGGUGCCGUGUGCAGUAGGGUGCUGCCUUGCCCAACACCAUCCCCUGCAUGUGUUCCUCCGUGGACCUCGUCAGAUAGUGCGAGGGGCAUGGGAUGGUACAACAGUUGCAUCAAGGAUGAUAAACCAACAUGUGGUGUGCGUGCAAAGGAGCUAGGCGUGCAGGGGCAUGGGAUGCUGGUGACAGUGGACAAAAGCCCCUACAUCGGCAUGAGCGACCUGGACGUCUCCGCGGGCUUCUGCAAGCUGCCGGUCUACGGAGUUGGUCAAGAUGUAAGUGCUGGCCGCUGCCCGUCUGAUUCUGUAGAUGAUGUUGCAUGGAGGAUGAUAAACCGACGUGUGGUGUGCGUGGGGAAGUACAUCAGCAGUGAGUCGGUGCCGUGCCCCUCCAGUGGCCGAUUCUUCAUCGACUACGUUAUAGAAGUGAUUGCAAAAGAGUUGGGCAUGCAGGGGCCUGGGAUGCCCGUGAGAGUGGCCAACACCACCUACAUGGGCAUGAAUGCCCUCCAUGGCACCACCGGCCUUGGCAGGCUGUGCCGGUCUACGAGUAGCUCGUGGAGGUACCUUGUUGAUUCUAGCGUUGAUCGAAAUGAGAAACGUUCGGGCAUCACUAGACUUCGACACCUCCCAUCUUGCCCCUCUGGUGGUCGCUUCUUGUUCGAAUCUGGCAUAGUAUUGUACAACAGUUGCAUCAAGGAUGAUAAACCAACGUGUGGUGUGCGUGCAAAGGAGCUGGGCGUGCAGGGGCAUGGGAUGUCGGUGACAGUGGCCAACACCCCCUACAUGGGCAUCAACAGCUGCGAGUGUCUUUCCACUAGUAGAGUAAACCUUACAAAGCUUGGAACACAUGCACUAUGGACAUACUGGAAGCACUUCAAUCUUAUAAGCACCAUCCUAGCCUAUGUAGUAAUUCUUGAUCGGCAAAAAAUCAAUGUCAAUAUGCUUACACCAACGUUGCUGCUGGGCAAUACCGUCCGGUUCCAUGGCGCCUUUCGCUCGGGCAUGUCAAACAUGGAUGUCAUCAGAGGGGGCAGCACUUACGGUGUCGUAGUCUUUGCUGGUGACAGUAGCUUUUCCGUUGCCAAGGAUCACGGCAAGUACAUGCGGUGCCGUCGUGAAGAAUCUCGCCUAGGCCUGAUUCUGAGCAAAUAUUGUGCAUUCUUUCCUCAGAUUGUUAGUUGGGGUCAUUUGGAGCAUGGUGAGCACCCCAAGAUGGGGGCACCUCAUGUUUUCCCGUCUCCGAUGGUGUGGUCGAGAGAAAAAACAAGAGUGGAUGGCGAGCCUCACACAACUGAAAGCCAUCAUGUAGGAAUCACCCGUGACAACGUACAUAUCGCCCUCGACGACCAAAUCCAGAGGAGCAGCGAGCACCAAAUGAACGCAAACCAGGACCUCCAAGCCAUGUCUCGAAAACAAUGCUCUCAACAUAGGAACGACAUCAAGGAUGCCGCCGGUACCAACCCAGAACCGGACCUAGGCUUUCGCCUGGAGUCAACCAUUCAAGUGAGCGAGGGCGAGAGAUGUCAAUCACCAUCACACCGAGCCACCACCGCAAUCGCCUGCAACCACCACGGUGCCCAUCAGCUAGCAAGGCCCUAUGCCGUGGACCACGAACUAGGCCCCAACCACCACCAAGGCCGCACCAUCGGCAUAUUACACACCUCCACCGUCACCAAACGAGCAACGCUGUCGCCGGAGCUUCACCGCACCUCACUGCCAAGACCUCAAACGGAAGAGCGCCACAUCAUCGCCGGAGAGAAGGGAGACCGCACCCGGGAGAGGCCCUGCCGCAACCGGCACUGCCAGGGCUUCACCCGACAGUGA